AGAUUGAACGCUGGCGGCAGGCCUAACACAUGCAAGUCGAGCGGUAGAGAGGUGCUUGCACCUCUUGAGAGCGGCGGACGGGUGAGUAAAGCCUAGGAAUCUGCCUGGUAGUGGGGGAUAACGCUCGGAAACGGACGCUAAUACCGCAUACGUCCUACGGGAGAAAGCAGGGGACCUUCGGGCCUUGCGCUAUCAGAUGAGCCUAGGUCGGAUUAGCUAGUUGGUGAGGUAAUGGCUCACCAAGGCGACGAUCCGUAACUGGUCUGAGAGGAUGAUCAGUCACACUGGAACUGAGACACGGUCCAGACUCCUACGGGAGGCAGCAGUGGGGAAUAUUGGACAAUGGGCGAAAGCCUGGAUCCAGCCAUGCCGCGUGUGUGAAGAAGGUCUUGGAUGUAAAGCAACUUUAAGUUGGAGAAGGGCAUUAACCUAAUACGUACAGUGUUUUAGACGUUACCGACAGAAUAAGCACCGCUAACUCUGUG
This 485-nucleotide ribosomal RNA is filed under the name uncultured soil bacterium. Its description in RNAcentral is "bacterial SSU rRNA". It matches the Rfam family "Bacterial small subunit ribosomal RNA", at positions 26 to 507 of the family's 1533-position model. The record is from RNAcentral.